UUCGCUUCUCGGCCUUUUGGCUAAGAUCAAUUAUAGUAUCUGUUCUUAUCAGUUUAAUAUCUGAUACGUCCUCCAUUUGAGGACUUUAUAUUAAACAGAUUUUUAGAGCGGGGAGCUGGAAGAGGGGCUUGCUCCGUCCGCUCCACGCAUUGACCUGGUACUACAGUAUGUAACAAAGGUCAAAGACGGACAA
Pangasianodon hypophthalmus (striped catfish) is the source of this 193-nucleotide small nuclear RNA. RefSeq annotates it as U2 spliceosomal RNA. The transcript has a single exon. The record is from RefSeq and is a predicted model, not a curated record. NCBI's taxonomy places the organism in Eukaryota, Metazoa, Chordata, Actinopteri, Siluriformes, Pangasiidae.